GAUGAACGCUAGCGGCAGGCUUAACACAUGCAAGUCGAGGGGCAGCACGGGUAGCAAUACCUGGUGGCGACCGGCGCAAGGGUGCGUAACGCGUGAGCAACAUGCCCUAUACAGGGGGAUAAUCCAGGGAAACUUGGUCUAAUAUCCCAUAGUAUUUAGAGGAGGCAUCUUCUAUAAAUUAAAGCUUCGGUGGUAUAGGAUUGGCUCGCGUGACAUUAGCUAGAUGGUGAGGUAACGGCUCACCAUGGCAAUGAUGUCUAGGGGUUCUGAGAGGAAGGCCCCCAACUGGGACUGAGACACGGCCCAGACUCCUACGGGAGGCAGCAGUGAGGAAUAUUGGACAAUGGAUGGAAAUCUGAUCCAGCCAUGCCGCGUGCAGGAAGACAGCCCUAUGGGUUGUAAACUGCUUUUAUAUGGGAGCAAUAAGGUCUACGUGUAGACUGAUGAGAGUACCAUAUGAAUAAGC
RNAcentral lists this ribosomal RNA (466 nucleotides) under uncultured bacterium. Its description in RNAcentral is "bacterial SSU rRNA". It matches the Rfam family "Bacterial small subunit ribosomal RNA", at positions 28 to 491 of the family's 1533-position model. The record is from RNAcentral.